UUUAAAUUAAAACAUUGGUUUUGUAAAUCAAAAAUAGUUAUUACUCUAAUUUC
RNAcentral lists this transfer RNA (53 nucleotides) under Scutigerella causeyae. RNAcentral's name for it is "tRNA-Thr". The record is from RNAcentral. Lineage: Eukaryota; Metazoa; Arthropoda; Symphyla; Scutigerellidae.